UACGAAGGGGGCUAGCGUUGCUCGGAUUUACUGGGCGUAAAGCGCACGUAGGCGGAUCGUUAAGUCGGGGGUGAAAUCCUGGAGCUCAACUCCAGAACUGCCUUCGAUACUGGCGAUCUCGAGUCCGGAAGAGGUGAGUGGAACUCCUAGUGUAGAGGUGGAAUUCGUAGAUAUUAGGAAGAACACCAGUGGCGAAAGGCGACUCACUGGUCCGGUACUGACGCUGAGGUGCGAAAGCGUGGGGAGCAAACAGG
RNAcentral lists this ribosomal RNA (254 nucleotides) under uncultured bacterium. RNAcentral describes it as "partial 16S ribosomal RNA". It matches the Rfam family "Bacterial small subunit ribosomal RNA", at positions 524 to 776 of the family's 1533-position model. The record is from RNAcentral.